Molecule: small RNA, 751 nt
Filed under: Pongo abelii (Sumatran orangutan)
Lineage: Eukaryota; Metazoa; Chordata; Mammalia; Primates; Hominidae
Description: processed transcript
Source: RNAcentral
GCGGGUGGUUGAGUAGAACCGGUCGCCAUGUCCGCGGGGAGCGCGACACAUCCUGGAGCUGGCGGGCGCCGCAGCAAAUGGGACCAACCAGCUCCAGCCCCACUUCUCUUCCUCCCGCCAGCGGCCCCAGGUGGGGAGGUCACCAGCAGUGGGGGAAGUCCUGGGGGCACCACAGCUGCUCCUUCAGGAGCCUUGGAUGCUGCUGCUGCUGUGGCUGCCAAGAUCAAUGCCAUGCUCAUGGCAAAAGGGAAGCUGAAACCAACUCAGAGUGCUUCUGAGAAGGUAUUUGAAGUUGAAGAGUCUCCACUAAUUGUGAAUUUAAUAGUUGUUUUGCUGGGAUUACAGGUAUGAGCCACCAUGCGCAGCCUAUUGUUUGCAAAGAUUGUGUGAGUCAGUCAUCCAUUUCUAAGGUUUAUGAGGAAAAAUUAAAAGCAUCUUGACAAAGAUGUAAUGCUCCUUGUAUAUUAAGAUUCUUAAUACUGAUUGAAUCGUUUAAGCUCUUUUUUUUUCUUAAAAUAAUAAUCUUUAGGUAGUUGAUCUCAGCAGGAUACAUAAACACUGGAUUUAGAAUCAUAAAACCUGAAAACCCAGAAUCCACAGUUACUGGUUACAUGGCUUUGGCAUAAUGAAACUCAGCUUUCUCGUUGGUAAUAUAUACCUGCAUUGUGUAGUGCAGUAGUCACUAGUCUCAUGUGGCAAUUUAAAUUAAAAUUAAGGGGCUGGGUGUGGUAGCUCACACCUGUAGUCCCAG